AUGUCGAGCCAACUAGAGGUGUUCACCGGCGGCGUUCUCCGCAUCACCGUGCACCAUGUGUACUACCUGAUCACUGAGGAGACACUACAGCAGGUGUUUGUUGCGUAUGGUGUGGUGAAGGUCUCCGUGUUCCAGAAAAUCCACCAUGUGGAGGCAGUGGUUCAGCUUCGAUCAAGAAUCGGGGCGGCGCGGGCUCUUGCCUUGCAUGGCCGGUGUGUCUACGAGCAUGCCUGCCUCCUCGACAUCCAGGACGUGUCACCGGAGUAUAACCUGCACUUGUGCUCGCUGCUGGAGCUCAAGCAGACCGCAACCGUGGCCGAGUACACGACGACAUUCUGGGAACGAGUACAUCGUGUGCUGGAUCUCAACUCCACCAUAAGCAUCAAGUGCUUUGUCCACCAGUACGUCGAGGGCUUGCGCAUGGAUAUUCAAGCAUCCGUGCAGUCGCAAUCGCCGUCCAGCAUCACCAGAGCGUCAUCCCUUGCUCGGAUAAAGGAGGAGGAAAUUUUGAAGGAUGCGGCUAGGGCUGUUGAGGAGCUUGACGACUGCGUCAGCCAUGGAGUUCAGGGCGUCACGCCUAAGGAGGCCCUCACCGAUGUCUCCCCCGAGCUCGCUUCCCCUAUGGUGUGUGGUGCAGACCAUGGAGUCAUCGCCAUCGACACCAACAACCUUGCUGCUCUGACGCUAACCACAUGCUCGACGGAGUGCCCGAGUCGCGACGCCACCGUCAACAUCUUCCCCGAGCUUGCUGCCUCUGAUGUGUGCGACGAGGCCAUCGACACCGACGCCGACACCGUCAGUGUCAUGGCACCAACGCCCGCCACCUGUUCGUCGGGUCUGAUUCAUGGCGUCAACAAUCCCAUGGCGGUGCAGAUGCUCAGGCCAUCGCCAUGGCCUUCGUUUGUCACUGACCACACAAGUACAACUUGCAGCAACAUUGUCGAGCCACCACUGAGCAUCGCCACUGUGUCGUGCCGGGAAAUGUUUCCAAACCGUGGGGAAAUCGCUCUUGAUACAAUCGAAUCAAAGGUGUUGUGA
RNAcentral lists this ribosomal RNA (1038 nucleotides) under Triticum aestivum (bread wheat). RNAcentral describes it as "partial small subunit ribosomal RNA". The record is from RNAcentral. Lineage: Eukaryota; Viridiplantae; Streptophyta; Magnoliopsida; Poales; Poaceae.